GACGAACGCUGGCGGCGUGCUUAACACAUGCAAGUCGAACGGAAAGGCCCUGCUUUUGUGGGGUGCUCGAGUGGCGAACGGGUGAGUAACACGUGAGUAACCUGCACCUGACUUUGGGAUAACUUCAGGAAACUGGGGCUAAUACCGGAUAGGAGCUCCUGCUGCAUGGUGGGGGUUGGAAAGUUUCGGCUGUUGGGGAUGGAAUCGCGGCUUAUCAGCUUGUUGGUGGGGUAGUGGCUGACCAAGGCUUUGACGGGUAGCCGGCCUGAGAGGGUGACCGGGCACAUUGCGACUGAGAUACGGACCAGAAUCGUACGGGAGGCAGCAGUCGGGAAUAUUGCACAGCGGGCCGAAGUGUGAGGUAGAGACGUCGCGUGCGGGAUGAUGGGCUUCUGGGUGUAAACCGCUUUCGACGGUGACGAAGCGGGAUUGACGGUAAUGGGUCAAGAAGCACCGGCUAACUACGUG
Molecule: ribosomal RNA, 468 nt
Filed under: uncultured bacterium
Lineage: Bacteria
Description: partial 16S ribosomal RNA
Rfam family: Bacterial small subunit ribosomal RNA
Source: RNAcentral